RNAcentral lists this ribosomal RNA (540 nucleotides) under Streptomyces rameus. Its description in RNAcentral is "bacterial SSU rRNA". It matches the Rfam family "Bacterial small subunit ribosomal RNA", at positions 247 to 799 of the family's 1533-position model. The record is from RNAcentral. Lineage: Bacteria; Bacillati; Actinomycetota; Actinomycetes; Kitasatosporales; Streptomycetaceae.
UGUUGGUGAGGUAACGGCUCACCAAGGCGACGACGGGUAGCCGGCCUGAGAGGGCGACCGGCCACACUGGGACUGAGACACGGCCCAGACUCCUACGGGAGGCAGCAGUGGGGAAUAUUGCACAAUGGGCGCAAGCCUGAUGCAGCGACGCCGCGUGAGGGAUGACGGCCUUCGGGUUGUAAACCUCUUUCAGCAGGGAAGAAGCGAAAGUGACGGUACCUGCAGAAGAAGCGCCGGCUAACUACGUGCCAGCAGCCGCGGUAAUACGUAGGGCGCAAGCGUUGUCCGGAAUUAUUGGGCGUAAAGAGCUCGUAGGCGGCUUGUCACGUCGGAUGUGAAAGCCCGGGGCUUAACCCCGGGUCUGCAUUCGAUACGGGCAGGCUAGAGUUCGGUAGGGGAGAUCGGAAUUCCUGGUGUAGCGGUGAAAUGCGCAGAUAUCAGGAGGAACACCGGUGGCGAAGGCGGAUCUCUGGGCCGAUACUGACGCUGAGGAGCGAAAGCGUGGGGAGCGAACAGGAUUAGAUACCCUGGUAGUCCACG